Molecule: RNA transcript, 3679 nt
Organism: Halichondria panicea
Lineage: Eukaryota; Metazoa; Porifera; Demospongiae; Suberitida; Halichondriidae
Exons: 8
Source: RefSeq, a predicted model, not a curated record
GCACAUACCUCAUUCAGAACAAGGAGAGGCAUUCUAGCAGCAAUAGCUCUCAACUUUCUGGCCUUGGGUUGGUUUCUUACUUGUGCAGGCUAGUCUCCUAGUAUGUCUGGCCAGUCUGCUCAGGACUGGUUACACUGGCAACCUAGUACAUCUACCUGCAAGGGUGUGUGAAGGAUGGCAGUGAUUGGGGGGCUAAUGUCACCAUUGACGGCCACACUGUGUCAGUGCUUAGCUGGUUCGAUGAUCAGCUCAAGUCGGAUAAUAUCAAGAACAACCUGCACACCUUGACUGAGGAGCCUCACAUGGGAGGCAGUGAAGAGAACCAUCAGCUAGCUGUGAUGAUCUACCAACAGUGGGAAGGAUUCAUGUUCGACAAAGUGAACUAGUCAACUACUCUGUUCUACUCAGCUUCCCCAACAACACAAGCAAUCCCAACAUGCUGCAAUUGUUGAACGCUAAGAAUGAACUACUCUACAAUUCUCACUCGAAACAGGAGCCACCUUUGACCCCUGGUGAAGACGACCCCAACGUGGCUCCAUCUUUCAAUGCAUACUCUGGAAGUGGGAAAACUUCACUUCCAGAACAGAUAUGUUACUCUACCUCUGCUACGUGAUGGCUGCCAAACUGCUCACUUUCAACAGAUUACUAUUGUCUCAUUAAGAGGUCAGCAUCAUGACAUUACACUCAGACUGUGUGCGUGCAUGUCUGUUAGUGAACAGCUGUUUCGUCUGGGACUCUGGCCAGCUACUCCAGUUAAGCCCACGGUUGCGUUUACUAAUGGAGGUGAUACAUAAUCUCUGUACUCGAGUGUCAAUCUUCACUUUACGGCAUUUAUAGCUUCAUACGAUUAACUGGAAAAAAGCAACCAAAGGAUAAAGAUUUCUACUCUCAGUUCACGACAAGUUUUCCAUAGUAUAGGUACGUUAUUCAAGCAGUCAUGUAGACUUUCAGUCUUUUGUGCCAGCAACGAAUGUCCUGCCUCUCCAAAGGUAUAGGUGUGUUUUAUGAUUAUGUGUUGUUAGGCAGAUGCUUUGGAUCCAAUGAUUAUGUCAAUAGACGCAAACUCUCGUCUUUGUCGCUGUAUCAAUGCUCCUAAGGAAAGUGAAGACACAGAACCUUUGAUUUCCCCUUCAUUCUAGGAAGUUGACUGUUACGUAACCUCACAAGAGCGUCCCACUACAGAGAGUAGCUGCAGUGACUUCAAAGCUGACGAUGCGUUACGCUCUCGAUCACGCUAUCACUCCCUUGAUGAAUGUGUUUAGAGCAGCAAGAUAUUCCUCUCUGGCAUGUAGCUGUCAAUUACAUCCUGCUCUCUUGUAUAUCUAAGAGACUGUGUGUAUCUAUCCUAUAUUAGGUAUGAAACUGCUGUGUUAGGAGCGAUCUGUAGACAUGACUUCCCCAAAGGUUUGCCUGAGCUGAGUUAGUAGAUCAAGAUCUAAAUUUACGUUUUCUGAGUCUGAGUAGUUAAAGCUAAACGUAGCUACGGUACGUAGAUUAUAACUGUUCUACCAGGCUGUGGGGCAGGAGGGGGGAUUCCUAGACGGAAGUAGUAGGCCGACCAUAGCAAAUAAUAUUGAAUCUGUAUGUGAAUAGUUUUGUCUCAGAGGAGGUACGACAGGAAGUGGUGGGAAUUACGCGUUUACAUUCCAUAUAAAAAGUACUUAGCUUCAAAUUUAGAGAAAGAGUUUUUUUGCACUACAGAUAUUGUACACAAGUAGCAAGGUGCAAAGUUUUGUAGCUUCUCUGUGUGUUCUAAACGACUGAACACAGUGACAAAAGUAAGUAGUGAAUUAAUAUCUCAUCAGUUCACCCUGAUACCUAUCGAUAUACCCAUUGUAUGAAAGGUCUAGAGCCAAACUAUUAUGUCUCCAAGUUUUACAGCAUGAUUUUUCAUUCUUAUAAGUACUUAUCAAGGAACAUAAUUAUGUACAUGGGAAAAUGAAUGUAAAUAUAACAAGAAUGUAAUUAAAAACUUGAUCAAAGUGACUCCAGUAGCUAACUGAGCUUUGCGGUUACCGCCCACUUAGAAUUAAUCAUAUUCAUGCUUAGCCACAUCCUAAAGUUAAAUACUGGUGGAACAAACCUGACAUUGCAGUGGUACCCAACCCUACGUUCGCGUCCAGGGUGGGCGGGCUACGCCCAACUACAUCAAACCUAGUGGUUUUCACUACACAUAGGCUACAAUGGAGAGCAGUCUAGGGGAUUACCGUACUUCUUCUAAAUAAGGCGCCACCCAGACUGAAAAGUAAUUUUAAAGUCUCCAUAUAGAGCUCCACGUGGCUAGAGAGAUUAUUUUUUGGUGGCGCGUUGUAAAUGGAGGCUAACAUCACAUCUUUUUUCAGAAAGCUUGAGGAUGAUGAGACACGGCCUGGAAUCGAGGAUACCAAGAUUGUUCAAAUAACCUCUAUUUAUAAGGCACCCAUCUAAAUACGCGCCUCCCUGGACCAAAUCAAAUUUUUCUGUCUCUAAUUAUGGCCCUUGCUCAUAUCGUAAUUAUUAAAAAGAGGCGCCUUAUUUAGAAGAAGUACGGUAACUCAGGUUGGUUACUGUCUUUCAUAACAUGCACUUCACAGUAUUCGAGAUUACUAGAAAGUGAUGUGAGCUUGCUAGAGAGCACAGCAGUAGAUCUACACAGGCACCAUAGCUAUCAGAGGAGGUCCGAUAGGCGCGGUGCAGCUCAAGUAAUUAGCCUUGAUUAAUACUCUCAGCAAACACAUACAACGUGGGCGGAUAAUUAUUGCUCAAUCAAAGGCUAAUUGCUUGAGCUGCACUGUGCCUGUCGUACCUCCUCUGAUAGCUACACUGAAAUGUAAGGAAAGAUUAAAGGUCAAGAGCCUAUAACGUAAACAUUGUAUGCCACACCAGAGAAGGUACGACAUGCGUGCCUCGAUCAGGCUAAUUGCCUCUGCAAUAACAUUGAGCAUGGGCGUGGGCGUAACCACGCCUCGAUUAUCUGCCUACGCUCAGCGUUAUUGCAGAGGCAAUUAGCCUAAUCGAGGCACCAGUGUCGUACCUCCUCUGAUGCCACAUGUUCCUUGCCAUGUGACUGAUGACACAUGCAUGUCCCACCUCCUCUGCAUGCAUUAUGUACAAUAUCAAUGCAUUAACUAUAUAGGAAUUAGUAUCUGUUAGUUAGUAGAGUAUUCUAUUGCCUGAUUUAUUCAAUACGGUACAUGAAGACUCUUGCUAAUCCGGAUCUCUGAAUUACGAUUGUUUCAUUUGGCACACAUUGCUAGCUUGAUCAUACUGCACAAAACCUGCCUUGAAAUGCGGCCACUCGCUGUUUCGUAUACUGGUUAGUUGUGGCUGCCCCAGGAUUUUUAUACGUUUUGGGUGUGGUCUGGCAGAUGAAAAUUGGGUUAAUCUCGAGACAAAACCGCAAAAUUAGUCAUUAGAUUUGAAGCAGAAUCUGCUAUUUAGCUGCGGCUAUUUUCUGAAAUGUAGCCACCUCGUUAUUGUGACCUGUCCCAAGGGUGACUGGAUUAACGAGAGUUUACUGUAUUAUGUAUUUUCUUUGUGGUCCCAACAGGGUAGCCGCAGUGCCCAGGAUCAUGAAGAGACAAUGAUGGCUCUUCUCUAUGCAAUCCUCACUGACCCUUCAUCGGCCUCAAAGAGCUACCACACCCUGACGUUGGUGUCACGUAACAGUCUUAGUUUGGUCACCACUCAUACUGAGAGG